UAGGACAGAAGGCUUUCCUGAAUGGCAGUUCUGCGCGGCCCAGCGGCCAGCUUGGUACCGCGAACAGUGUUGCAAUGUGAAGAGACAUGCGCCUUCUAUUUUACUGUAUAGAAUAAUCCCGGUUCUCUGGGCCAGUAGAUCCACCAAGACCUAGUCCUAGCUUAAGGCAGUGAGCUGACCUUAAAAGAGCAGACAUGCUGCAAGCACUUCUAAACAUAGACAGCAUGCAUGUGUGUCUACAAUUGGAUAUCAGCUCUGACAAGUAGCUCUUGCCCAGGCACUGGGUAGAUUUCCUCAAUGGGGAAGCUGCAGCAUGCAUUGUGCUGUUUUUGCAGCCAAGUUGCAAAUCGGCCAUGCAAAGGAAGCUUGCAGAGAUCACUUGAAUACGCCAUUAAAAAUGCAUAUAACAUCUGCGCAAUGCCCCCUUGGCAUUCUCCUUCAUGUCAGCUUUCGUGCGAUGUGCGCCGUGCAUGGUAAGAUUGAGCCUGCAUAGCACUGCAAGGGAAGCCAUCCUUCACCACUGGUAGAAAUCUGCAGACCCUGUUGGGCUGAUGACAUGCCCCGGAACCGAUUGUUGCCAAAAAGCUCCAGCAGCACACAACUGCAUAACUUCUACAGAAACCUUCCAACACAGUCCGAACACGGUUGAAUUCAGGACAGGAGCAGCUUGUGCCUCGCAAGGUAGAACAGGUAAGGAAAUGCCCAGGACUAAAAGCGGUGGUAGCUUAACAUUCAAACAAAUCAGUCACGUUGUGGGUUCUCACCCACCUUCUCUCGUGCCUUUUAGAGAUACGUAACCGCUUUUCACAACCUUCGCGGGUUCCCAGCUGUUGCAGCGACGGUGUAUCACGCAUUUUCUUGAUAACAUCAGACAGUUCUACACAAGGGCCCUGCGCUAUGUGCACUGUUGCUCUUUCUGCAGAGAGUUGAGAUUGCUUGAUUGUGCUGCUCUAAAAACAAUUGUGGAGACAUUCAGCGAGGGGCUGAAGCUAUUAUUGCUGUAUUCGAAGACUGUAACAAAGUACAUCAAGAUACAUGGACAAGUGAUGGUCUGCCGUUGCUGCCAGGCUCCCGCACGGCCACAAUCCUUCAGAAAGUGCGUGUACGCAUCCUGUAGAGCAAUUGCACAGCAUACAUCUGCAGAUAUCGUGCAUUAAAACCGAAAAACUUGCUGGUCUAUUUCUGGCCUAUGUCCUGGCCGAGGAAUGGCCGACAAAGGAAAAUAUGGGCAAUUCCCGGCCACACUUCGGCCAAAUAGGCAUUGGCCGAAGUCUGGCCGAAAUAGGGGGUUUCGGCUGUUCCUCGCCCGUCCAAUAUAUGCCCUAUCAUUCGUAGCCAGUUGGCAGCUCACCGGUUUUGCAAAUGGUAACAGCACUCAUAAACCCUCCAGGAUCCCACAUCAUCAGGAAGGGACACGGAACAAAAAUAUCGGCUCGGCUC
This 1440-nucleotide long non-coding RNA is filed under the name Coccomyxa subellipsoidea. Its description in RNAcentral is "long non-coding RNA (CSUB_LNC000001)". The record is from RNAcentral. Lineage: Eukaryota; Viridiplantae; Chlorophyta; Trebouxiophyceae; Coccomyxaceae.